UAAUACGUACUGUGCGAACGUUAUUCGGAAUCACUGGGCUUAAAGGGUGUGUAGGCGGCUGGACAAGCAGGGUGUGAAAGGCCUCGGCUCAACCGGGGCAUUGCGCUCUGGACUGUCCGGCUCGAGCAAGACAGGGGUGUGCGGAACUUCCAGUGGAGCGGUGAAAUGUGUUGAUAUUGGAAGGAACGCCGGUGGCGAAAGCGGCACACUGGGUCUUGUCUGACGCUGAGACACGAAAGCCAGGGGAGCGAACGGGAUUAGAUACCCCGGUAGUCCUGGCUGUAAACGAUGAGCACUAGACGGGAGGGGUCUUGUACCUUUCCGGUCGCAGCGAAAGCAUGAAGUGCUCCGCCUGGGGAGUAUGGUCGCAAGGCUG
This 376-nucleotide ribosomal RNA is filed under the name uncultured bacterium. RNAcentral describes it as "bacterial SSU rRNA". It matches the Rfam family "Bacterial small subunit ribosomal RNA", at positions 521 to 896 of the family's 1533-position model. The record is from RNAcentral.